GUAGUUCAGCUGGUUAGAACGCUAGCCUGUCACGCUAGAGGUCGUGGGUUCGAGUCCCAUCC
This 62-nucleotide transfer RNA is filed under the name human gut metagenome. It matches the Rfam family "tRNA", at positions 7 to 64 of the family's 71-position model. Rfam says of the family: Transfer RNA (tRNA) molecules are approximately 80 nucleotides in length. The record is from RNAcentral.